Molecule: transfer RNA, 74 nt
Filed under: Caudoviricetes sp.
Lineage: Duplodnaviria; Heunggongvirae; Uroviricota; Caudoviricetes
Description: tRNA-Arg
Rfam family: tRNA
About the family: Transfer RNA (tRNA) molecules are approximately 80 nucleotides in length. Their secondary structure includes four short double-helical elements and three loops (D, anti-codon, and T loops).
Source: RNAcentral
AGUUCCUUAGCUCAACUGAAUAGAGCAACACACUUCUAAUGUGUAGGUUAUGGGUUUGAAUCCCAUAGGAACUA